CUUCCUCCUUCCUGGUCCCCAAAUCAGGCCCCUCCUGCCCACCCGCUGGGCUCGGUGGGAGGUAAGAGGUGGGAUGGGGGCGGCGCUAAUGGGCAUCGGACUAGACUUUUUUGUUUAAGAACCGCUUGAAAGGGUUCUGAAAACACCGUGUAUCCUUUGUAUAUUUUUAGUUGAUAUCUAAACGUGUAGUAAUUUCUGGCAUACAGUCGAAUAUUUAGGUGGACUUUUUUGUCAAAACCGUAGAACUUUCUCAUCAGCUCAUUAAAUUUAUACAAAAGGUCCUCCCCACCCCCCAUUAUAUAAUUGCUAAAGCUAGUCCUUACCGUCCAGACGAGACUUGUUUUCUGCCUGAAAAAAGUCCUUCGCUUUUUCAGUCAAAAUGAACCCGUUAAUUUAUGAUGUCGCGAUAAAUUCCCCUAGUGAGAUUCCUCACUAGGCGAAUUGGAAUCCUGGUCUUAGAGCGACCGGGGAUGACAGAUGACAGACGGAGGGAAGGAAGUGGGGAGAGAUGGAGACACAAGGUGUGGCGAGACGGAGGGAUAACGCAGGACCGUAUGCCACUUCUGUCGCCUGUCCCACAUUCCUUACUCUACGUGGGUUUGCGGUCGGGACUGUCCCUCGGGAACCGAGAGGCGGAUCCAGGAAGGAUGGGAGUGGGAGAGGGCGGAUGCUGGCGAGGACUCAGGCAGCCCGGGAUAGGAGGACCUCUAGGAACG
RNAcentral lists this long non-coding RNA (716 nucleotides) under Homo sapiens (human). Its description in RNAcentral is "non-protein coding lnc-SLC2A12-12:4". Lineage: Eukaryota; Metazoa; Chordata; Mammalia; Primates; Hominidae. The record is from RNAcentral.